This 477-nucleotide ribosomal RNA is filed under the name uncultured bacterium. RNAcentral's name for it is "partial 16S ribosomal RNA". It matches the Rfam family "Bacterial small subunit ribosomal RNA", at positions 28 to 507 of the family's 1533-position model. The record is from RNAcentral.
GAUUAACGCUGGCGGCGUGCAUAACACAUGCAAGUCGAACGAUGAAACUUAAAUGAUUUCUUCGGAAUGAACUUAAGUGGAUUAGUGGCGGACGGGUGAGUAACGCGUGAGUAACCUGCCUUACACAAGGGGAUAGCCGUUGGAAACGACGAAUAAUACCCUAUGAAACUAUCACUUCGCGUGAAGCGAUAGUCAAAGUGUUAGCGGUGUAAGAUGGACUUGCGUCUGAUUAGCUAGUUGGUGAGAAAAAAGCCCACCAAGGCAACGAUCAGUAGCCGGCUUGAGAGAGUGUACGGCCACAUUGGGACUGAGACACGGCCCAGACUCCUACGGGAGGCAGCAGUGGGGAAUUUUGCACAAUGGGGGAAACCCUGAUGCAGCGACGCCGCGUGAUUUAGAAGGCCUUCGGGUUGUAAAAAUCUUUUGUAUAGGAAGAAAAUGACAGUACUAUACGAAUAAGGUCCGGCUAAUUACGUG